GCUCUCGUGCAUCCCUUACAAACUUUGCAAACUGUUCAGAGAUCCCUUCUACCUCAAGCUAGAUAUUAUGUUCAUGAUCAGAAUUACUUUCAGAUGCAGCAAUAUUCACCUGUACAUUCGAACAAGCACCUUGAUGUAAAUCAUGUAACAAUUCUACUAUACCCAUAUAUUCGACAGGUCCAUCAGCAUCACUAUCAUCUUCAGUAUCGUCAUCGUCGCGCACCACC
This 227-nucleotide long non-coding RNA is filed under the name Elaeis guineensis (African oil palm). Its description in RNAcentral is "long non-coding RNA (EGUI_LNC001002)". The record is from RNAcentral. Lineage: Eukaryota; Viridiplantae; Streptophyta; Magnoliopsida; Arecales; Arecaceae.